This 460-nucleotide ribosomal RNA is filed under the name uncultured bacterium. RNAcentral describes it as "partial 16S ribosomal RNA". It matches the Rfam family "Bacterial small subunit ribosomal RNA", at positions 338 to 795 of the family's 1533-position model. The record is from RNAcentral.
CCUACGGGUGGCAGCAGUGAGGAAUAUUGGUCAAUGGACGAGAGUCUGAACCAGCCAAGUCGCGUGAAGGAUGACUGCCCUAUGGGUUGUAAACUUCUUUUAUAUGGGAAUAAAACAGGGUAUGCAUACCCUCUUGUAUGUACCAUAUGAAUAAGGAUCGGCUAACUCCGUGCCAGCAGCCGCGGUAAUACGGAGGAUCCGAGCGUUAUCCGGAUUUAUUGGGUUUAAAGGGAGCGUAGGUGGAUUGUUAAGUCAGUUGUGAAAGGUUGCGGCUCAACCGUAAAAUUGCAGUUGAAACUGGCAGUCGUGAGUACAGUAGAGGUGGGCGGAAUUCGUGGUGUAGCGGUGAAAUGCUUAGAUAUCACGAAGAACUCCGAUUGCGAAGGCAGCUCACUGGACUGCAACUGACACUGAUGCUCGAAAGUGUGGGUAUCAAACAGGAUUAGAUACCCUAGUAGUC